AAUGAAUAAAUUUAAUAUACCCGUAUAUCCUUAGAAAUAUGGUCUAAGAGUUUCUACCGGACUACCGUAAAUUGUCUGACUAUGGGUGUUUAUAGAUAUUUU
Molecule: non-coding RNA, 102 nt
Filed under: Clostridium sp.
Lineage: Bacteria; Bacillati; Bacillota; Clostridia; Eubacteriales; Clostridiaceae
Description: Guanine sequence
Rfam family: Purine riboswitch aptamer
About the family: Riboswitches are metabolite binding domains within certain messenger RNAs that serve as precision sensors for their corresponding targets. Allosteric rearrangement of mRNA structure is mediated by ligand binding, and this results in modulation of gene expression. A class of riboswitches that selectively recognises guanine and becomes saturated at concentrations as low as 5 nM.
Source: RNAcentral